This 468-nucleotide ribosomal RNA is filed under the name uncultured bacterium. RNAcentral describes it as "partial 16S ribosomal RNA". It matches the Rfam family "Bacterial small subunit ribosomal RNA", at positions 28 to 507 of the family's 1533-position model. The record is from RNAcentral.
GAUGAACGCUGACAGAAUGCUUAACACAUGCAAGUCUACUUGAAUUUGGGUUUUUUAACUUAGAUUUGGGUGGCGGACGGGUGAGUAACGCGUAAAGAACUUGCCUCACAGCUAGGGACAACAUUUGGAAACGAAUGCUAAUACCUGAUAUUAUGAUUAUAAGGCAUCUUAGAAUUAUGAAAGCUAUAUGCGCUGUGAGAGAGCUUUGCGUCCCAUUAGCUAGUUGGAGAGGUAACGGCUCACCAAGGCGAUGAUGGGUAGCCGGCCUGAGAGGGUGAACGGCCACAAGGUGACUGAGACACGGCCCUUACUCCUUCGGGAGGCAGCAGUGGGGAAUAUUGGACAAUGGACCAAGAGUCUGAUCCAGCAAUUCUGUGUGCACGAUGACGUUUUUCGGAAUGUAAAGUGCUUUCAGUUGGGAAGAAAAAAAUGACGGUACCAACAGAAGAAGUGACGGCUAAAUACGUG